AUGGCCACCGCCGCCGCCACAGCCACCUCACCGUUGCACGACUCCCGAACCUUCGCCCUGCAGCAGGGCGAGUUGGAUGGGCGCUUUGCGGAUGCCGAAGAGAAACCAGCAGCACCAUCCGAGGAGCCCGCGGAGGCGGAGGCGGAGGCGGAGGAGGACGAGGACGACGAUGAGGACGAGGACGAGGAGUAUUGGUCCUACCAUGACGUGGGUGAAGCCCUAGACUGGCUCGACGCCGCGGAGGGCCCGGAUGGCUCGACGCGUCUUUCCUCAACAUUCUCGGCCGCCGGAAGCGCCGCUGCGGCGCGGAGGCCGAACGCGCACGGCGGCAUGCUCGCGCGCACACUCCAGCCACUCUCCAACCGCACACAGAAGCUGGCCUCGCACGUCCGCGCCGCUCCCUUGGAGGAGUGGGAAGGUAGAAUGAACGUGGGGAUGUCAAAUUCCGUGACGACUGCAAUCAGGGACAGCAUAAGGGAUACUGCAAUUGGGAAAACAAGGAACACUGGGAAGGCAGAUCGUGCUACAGUUGAACAGGCUAUUGACCCAAGAACCCGCAUGGUUUUGUUCAAAAUGUUAAACCGUGGUGUUUUUAAUAACAUAAAUGGUUGCAUUUCUACCGGAAAAGAGGCAAAUGUAUAUCAUGCAACAAAGACAGAUGGCAGUGAGUUAGCAAUCAAAGUCUAUAAAACUUCAGUGCUUGUUUUUAAGGAUAGAGAUCGAUACGUUCAAGGAGAUUAUCGCUUUAGACAUGGUUACUGCAAGCAUAAUCCUCGGAAAAUGGUAAAGACCUGGGCUGAAAAGGAAAUGCGAAAUCUUUUACGAGUUAGAGCAGAAGGAAUCCGAUGCCCGAAGCCGUUGCUCUUGAGGCUUCAUGUUUUGGUGAUGGAAUUUAUAGGAAAAGGAGGUUGGGCUGCUCCUCGUCUUAAGGAUGCUGCUUUGUCGGAUGACAAGUUGCGUGAAACUUACUUUGAGAUUGUUACAACGAUGCGGACACUUUACCAAAAGUGCAAGCUUGUCCAUGGUGAUUUGAGUGAAUACAACAUUCUUUAUUUUGAGGGACACUUGUACAUCAUUGAUGUUUCACAGUCUGUCGACCUUGACCAUCCUUCAGCUUUGGAUUUCCUGAAGGAAGAUUGCUUGCAUGUUAAUGAUUUCUUUGAAAAACGAGGCAUUCCUGUCAUGACAGUAACAGAGCUAUUUAAUUUUGUUGUGGAUCAAAAUAUCGCUGAUGAAGAUGUUGAUGAUUACUUGGAGAAGGUUCAACAAAAGAUUUUGGAAAAUGGAGAUACAGCUGCAGAUGAUGAUGAAAUUGCUCCGACAGUCUUGGUGCAGACGUUGGAUUAUGUGAAGCAAUGCGAGGCAGAUAUUGUCAGCAUGUCAAUGAUGCAACGCCCAUCCGUUGGUUAUGAGCCAACAGCAGAUAAGCUUUAUGACCAGCCACUGUUAGGAUUUGUGCGGGCUAAAAAUGAGCCUACCGAAAACCAGGAAGCACAGCCGGCACAAAAAACACGGGAAGAACCCUUGGACCUGCAAACUAAGUGCUCGUUGGAGAACAAGGAGGAAGAUGAAUCGGGUGACAGUGAGUCCUGCUCUAGCUCCGACGAAGAUGGUUCGUGGCACGAGUCCACAAAGAUGGGGCCCGAGGAAAGGAAGGCUGCUCGCAAGGAAAACAAGAAGAAAGUGAAGGAAGAAAAGAGGGAAACUCGCAAGACGAAGAUCCCCAAGGCCGAUAAGAAGAAGAGGAAGAAAAUGGCGAAAGCGAAGUGCAAGCGGUAG
Molecule: ribosomal RNA, 1779 nt
Filed under: Triticum aestivum (bread wheat)
Lineage: Eukaryota; Viridiplantae; Streptophyta; Magnoliopsida; Poales; Poaceae
Description: partial small subunit ribosomal RNA
Source: RNAcentral